RNAcentral lists this ribosomal RNA (1504 nucleotides) under uncultured Actinomycetes bacterium. RNAcentral's name for it is "bacterial SSU rRNA". It matches the Rfam family "Bacterial small subunit ribosomal RNA". Lineage: Bacteria; Bacillati; Actinomycetota; Actinomycetes. The record is from RNAcentral.
GAGUUUGAUCAUGGCUCAGGACACACGCUAGCGGCGUACUUAACGAAUGCGAGUCGAGCGACGAAACCGGGCUUCGGCCUGGCUGAGAGCGGCGAACGGGUGAGUAACGCGUAGGCAACCUACCCUCGAGUUCGGGAUAGCCCCCAGAAAUGGGGGGUAAUACCGGAUACGUCCCGCGAUCUUCGGAGAGCGGGGGAAAGAGCACUGUUCGCUCGAGGAUGGGCCUGCGUCCCAUUAGCUAGUUGGUGAGGUAAUGGCUCACCAAGGCGACGAUGGGUAGCCGGCCUGAGAGGGUGACCGGCCACACUGGGACUGAGACAUGGUCCAGACUCCUACGGGAGUUAGCAUCGAGGGAUCUUGCACAAUCGGCGAAAGCCGGAUGCAGUGACGCCGCGUGGAGGAUGAAGGCUUUCGGGUCGUAAACUCCUGUCGGGUGGGAUGAAGCGCCCGCUUGGAAGGCGGGUUGUGGACAGUACCACCCAAGAAAGUCACAGCCAACUACGUGCCAGCAGCUGCGGUAAUACGUAGGUGGCGAGCGUUGUCCGGAAUUACUGGGCGUAAAGGGCGUCUAGGCGGCCUGGUUAGCGGAGUGUGAAAGUCCUAGGCUCAACCUAGGAAAGCCGCUCCGAACUGCCAGGCUUGAGUGCGGGAGAGGGCAGUGGAAUUCCCGGUGUAGCGGUGAAAUGUAUAGAUAUCGGGAGGAACACCAGUGGCGAAGGCGGCUGCCUGGACCGUUACUGACGCUGAAGCGCGAAAGCUAGGGGAGCGAACGGGAUUAGAUACCCCGGUAGUCCUAGCCGUAAACGAUGAGCACUAGGUGUUGGGAGCAUCGACCCUCCCAGUGCCGCAGCUAACGCAAUAAGUGCUCCGCCUGGGGAGUACGGCCGCAAGGUUGAAACUCAAAGGAAUUGACGGGGGCCCGCACAAAGCGGUGGAGCAUGUUGCUCAAUCCGACGCAACGCGAAGAACCUUACCAGGCCUUGACAUCGAGGGACCGUCCGUGAAAGCGGAUUUCCUUCACAGGACCCAAAGACAGGUGGUGCAUGGCUGUCGUCAGCUCGUGUCGUGAGAUGUUGGGUUAAGUCCCGCAACGAGCGCAACCCUCACCGACUGUUGCCAGCGGGUAAAGCCGGGAACUCUGUCGGAACUGCCGGAGCAAUCCGGAGGAAGGUGGGGAUGACGUCAAGUCGGCAUGCCCCUUACGGCCUGGGCUGCAAACAUGCUACAAUGGCCGGUACAAAGGGUUGCCAAACCGCGAGGUGGAGCUAAUCCCCCAAAACCGGUCCCAGUUCGGAUUGGAGUCUGCAACUCGACUCCAUGAAGUUGGAAUCGCUAGUAACGGCGGAUCAGCAACGCCGCCGUGAAUACGUUCCCGGGCCUUGUACACACCGCCCGUCACAUCACGAAAGCCGGUGGGAGCCGAAGCCGAUGGGCUAACCCUCUGGAAGGCAGUCGUCGAAGCUCAACCCGGCAAUUGGGAUGAAGUCGUAACAAGGUAACCGUA